Limanda limanda (common dab) is the source of this 237-nucleotide long non-coding RNA. RefSeq lists it as uncharacterized. The transcript is spliced from 3 exons. The record is from RefSeq and is a predicted model, not a curated record. NCBI's taxonomy places the organism in Eukaryota, Metazoa, Chordata, Actinopteri, Pleuronectiformes, Pleuronectidae.
UCACCAAGCGCUGCACCAACUUCAGAGGGACCUACACCAUCAGAGGGGUCUACGCCAUCGUCCCAACAAAUUGUCAUUCGCUUGACGGCGAGGAUUUCCUCUGUGGCGGCUCUGACUGAGGAAGACAUCAGGAGUACGGUCGUACAGCAGCUUAAAAACGAACUGGUGAAACUCGGAUUGACACCCAGCACAAAUCUGACGUUACUGGGGAAGGUGUAACUGGAAAUUACAGCCAAU